AAAUGAAUAGACGGGGGCCCGCACAAGCGGAGGAACAUGUGGUUUAAUUCGAUGAUACGCGAGGAACCUUACCUGGGCUUAAAUGUAGAGUGCAUUUCCGGGAAACCGGAAUUUUCUUCGGAACCCUUUACAAGGUGCUGCAUGGUUGUCGUCAGCUCGUGCCGUGAGGUGUCGGGUUAAGUCCCAUAACGAGCGCAACCCCUAUCGUUAGUUGCCAUCGGGUAAUGCCGGGGACUCUAGCGAAACUGCCGGUGUAAACCGCGAGGAAGGUGGGGAUGACGUCAAAUCAGCACGGCCCUUAUGUCCAGGGCUACACACGUGUUACAAUGGCCGGUACAGAGGGCAGCCACCUGGUGACAGGGAGCGAAUCUCGAAAGCCGGUCUCAGUUCGGAUCGAAGUCUGCAACUCGACUUCGUGAAGCCGGAUUCGCUAGUAAUCGCGCAUCAGCCACGGCGCGGUGAAUACGUUCCCGGGCCUUGUACACACCGCCCGU
RNAcentral lists this ribosomal RNA (494 nucleotides) under uncultured bacterium. RNAcentral describes it as "bacterial SSU rRNA". It matches the Rfam family "Bacterial small subunit ribosomal RNA", at positions 903 to 1397 of the family's 1533-position model. The record is from RNAcentral.